CCUACGGGAGACAGCAGUGAGGAAUAUUGGUCAAUGGGCGCGAGCCUGAACCAGCCAAGUCGCGUGAGGGAUGACGGCCCUACGGGUUGUAAACCUCUUUUGCCGGGGAGCAACGGGCGCCACGUGUGGCGCCACUGAGAGUACCCGGAGAAAAUGCAUCGGUAAACUCCGUGCCAGCAGCCGGGGUAUUACGGGGGAUGCGAGCGUUAUCGGGAUUUAUUGGGUUUAAAGGGUGCGUAGGCGGAUCGUUAAUUCAGUGGUAAAAUUGAGGGGCUAAACCCCUUCCCGCCAUUGAAACUGGCUCUCUUGAGUGGAAGAGAAGUAUGCGGAAUGCGUGGUGUAGCGGUGAAAUGCAUAGAUAUCACGCAGAACCCCGAUUGCGAAGGCAGCAUGCCGGCUUCCGACUGACGCUGAAGCACGAAAGCGUGGGGAUCGAACAGGAUUAGAUACCCUAGUAGUC
Molecule: ribosomal RNA, 460 nt
Filed under: uncultured bacterium
Lineage: Bacteria
Description: partial 16S ribosomal RNA
Rfam family: Bacterial small subunit ribosomal RNA
Source: RNAcentral